CUUUUGCAUUGUUAGUCUCGGUAUUUUCUUUUGCUCAAGAAGAAAAUGAAGUAGAACAAGAUAGUAC
RNAcentral lists this small RNA (67 nucleotides) under Olleya sp. Hel_I_94. RNAcentral describes it as "Flavo-1 RNA". Lineage: Bacteria; Pseudomonadati; Bacteroidota; Flavobacteriia; Flavobacteriales; Flavobacteriaceae. The record is from RNAcentral.